This 909-nucleotide ribosomal RNA is filed under the name uncultured bacterium. RNAcentral describes it as "bacterial SSU rRNA". It matches the Rfam family "Bacterial small subunit ribosomal RNA", at positions 20 to 937 of the family's 1533-position model. The record is from RNAcentral.
UGGCUCAGGAUGAACGCUAGCGGCAGGCUUAACACAUGCAAGUCGAGGGGUAGGGUAGCAAUACCUGAGACCGGCGCACGGGUGCGUAACGCGUAUGCAAUCUACCUUUUACAGUGGAAUAGCCCAGAGAAAUUUGGAUUAAUACUGCAUAGUAUAAUUGAAUGGCAUCAUUUAAUUAUUAAAGAUUUAUCGGUAAAAGAUGAGCAUGCGUCCCAUUAGCUAGUUGGUAAGGUAACGGCUUACCAAGGCAACGAUGGGUAGGGGUCCUGAGAGGGAGAUCCCCCACACUGGUACUGAGACACGGACCAGACUCCUACGGGAGGCAGCAGUGAGGAAUAUUGGACAAUGGGCGCAAGCCUGAUCCAGCCAUGCCGCGUGCAGGAUGACGGUCCUACGGAUUGUAAACUGCUUUUAUACGAGAAGAAACACUGCUACGUGUAGCAGCUUGACGGUAUCGUAAGAAUAAGGAUCGGCUAACUCCGUGCCAGCAGCCGCGGUAAUACGGAGGAUCCAAGCGUUAUCCGGAAUCAUUGGGUUUAAAGGGUCCGUAGGCGGCUUGAUAAGUCAGUGGUGAAAUCUUUCGGCUCAACCGAGAAAUGGCCAUUGAUACUGUCAGACUUGAAUUAUUAGGAAGUAACUAGAAUAUGUAGUGUAGCGGUGAAAUGCUUAGAGAUUACAUGGAAUACCAAUUGCGAAGGCAGGUUACUACUAAUUGAUUGACGCUGAUGGACGAAAGCGUGGGUAGCGAACAGGAUUAGAUACCCUGGUAGUCCACGCCGUAAACGAUGGAUACUAGCUGUUGGGCGCAAGUUCAGUGGCUAAGCGAAAGUGAUAAGUAUCCCACCUGGGGAGUACGUUCGCAAGAAUGAAACUCAAAGGAAUUGACGGGGGCCCGCACAAGCGGUGGAG